This 116-nucleotide ribosomal RNA is filed under the name Escherichia coli. Lineage: Bacteria; Pseudomonadati; Pseudomonadota; Gammaproteobacteria; Enterobacterales; Enterobacteriaceae. The record is from RNAcentral.
UGGCGGCAGUUGCGCGGUGGUCCCACCCUGACCCCAUGCCGAACUCAGAAGUGAAACGCCGUAGCGCCGAUGGUAGUGUGGGGUCUCCCCAUGCGAGAGUAGGGAACUGCCAGACA